This 408-nucleotide ribosomal RNA is filed under the name uncultured bacterium. RNAcentral describes it as "partial 16S ribosomal RNA". It matches the Rfam family "Bacterial small subunit ribosomal RNA", at positions 28 to 526 of the family's 1533-position model. The record is from RNAcentral.
GACGAACGCUGGCGGCGUGCUUAACACAUGCAAGUCGAACGAAGUGGCGAACGGGUGAGUAACGCGUAAUCAACCUGCCCUUCAGAGGGGGACAACAGUUGGAAACGACUGCUAAUACCGCAUACUGAAGGAGGGGCUGGCGUCUGAUUAGCUAGUUGGGGGGGUAACGGCCCUCCAAGGUGAGGAUCAGUAGCCGGUCUGAGAGGGUGGACGGCCACAUUGGGACUGGGACACGGCCCAGACUCCUACGGGAGGGAGCAGUGGGGAAUCUGCCGCAAUGGACGAAAGUCUGACGGAACAACGCCGCGUGAGUGAUGACGGCCUUCGGGUUGUAAAGGUCUGUUAAUCGGGACGCGGUACCGGAAUAGAAAGCCACGGCUAACUACGUGCCAGCAGCCGCGGUAAUUC